Molecule: ribosomal RNA, 2463 nt
Filed under: Triticum aestivum (bread wheat)
Lineage: Eukaryota; Viridiplantae; Streptophyta; Magnoliopsida; Poales; Poaceae
Description: partial small subunit ribosomal RNA
Source: RNAcentral
AUGGGUGGUGUGGGGAAAACUGCUCUGGUCAAGGAAAUCUAUCAAAGCCAAGAACUAGCUGGAGCGUUCGAGAAGCGGGCCUGUGUCACGGUCAUGAGCCCUUUCGAUAAGGUUCAGCUCUUGAGGAGCUUAGCUAUGCAGCUAGUGGUGGUAGAACCUCCUGAAGAUUAUGAAACGAUAUGCUCAUUGGGCAGCAGAGCCAAAACACCAUUGUUUUGGUCGAUUCAAAAGCUCAAGAAUGAGAUGGAAAGUAUUCUGAAAGAAAAGAAGUGCUUGAUUGCUUUUGAUGACUUGUCAUCAACCACUGAAUGGGACAUGAUAUGGUCUAGCUUACCUCAAAUGGGAAAUGCAAGCCGGAUCUUAGUCACCACAAGGGAAGAAAAUGUUGCCAAUUAUUGUUCAAAGGAACAAGAAAAUGUAUGCAAGCUUCAAGUUCUAGAUAGGGAGCAUGCACUCGGCCUCUUCAUGAAAAAGGUAUUUAAGGAGAAGGAACAUUUGCAUCGGCAAUAUCCUGAGUUGAUUGAACAAGCAGAGCAACUUCUGAAGAAAUGCGACGGCCUUCCUCUUGCAAUAAUCGCCAUAGGUGGCUUCUUGGCAAAUCAACCAAAAACUGCCAUGGAGUGGAGAAAACUGAAUCAGAACCUUAGUACUCAGUUGGAGAUGAAUCCAGAGCUCGACACAAUAAGAACGGUCCUUCUCAAAAGCUAUGAUGGUUUACCCUAUCAUCUCAAGGCUUGUUUCUUGUAUCUGGCAAUCUUCCCCGAAGACUAUAAGAUUAGUCUAACACGUUUGUUGCAGCGGUGGGUCGCAGAGGGCUACUCAAGAGAGGUGAAUGGAAAGUCUUCGUAUGAAAUAGCAGAGAGUUACUUCAGGGACCUCGUAAGCAGGAGCAUGAUCCUACCAACCCGGCGAUCAGGUCAUAGUAGCAAUGAAAUGGGCUCUUGCCAGCUCCAUGAUAUCAUCCGUGAGAUUGGCAUCUCAAAAUCAGUGGAAGAAAAUCUUGUUUUCAGGUUGGAGGAAGGUUGCAGCUUAAACAGCCAACACAGAACACGUCACCUCUCUGUAAGCAACAAUUGGAAGGGAGACCAGAAUGAAUUUGAGAGCACGGUAGACCUGUCUCGUGUUCGAUCAAUAACAAUCUUUGGGAAGUGGAGACCAUUCUUCAUCUCCAACAAGAUGAGGUUGCUGCGAGUGCUGGACUUGGAAGGCACUUCAGAUCUGGUUGAUCAUCAUCUCAUGCACAUUGGGAAGCUUAUCCACUUGAGAUACCUUUCCUUGAGAGAAUGUUAUGGAAUUUAUCACCUGCCAGGUUCUUUGGGUAACCUGAGGCAACUUCAGACACUAGACAUCACAGGUACAAACAUAAUCAAACUGCCUAAGACGGUCAUAAAGCUCCGGAAGCUACAGCACGUUCGUGCCAGGGGCGUUGGGAGCAACGAUGAUUGUACGUAUGGAGAGUAUCCAGAAGAGGUGCCGAAGAUAAUGAGGAACAAGCUAUGCAUCCUGACCUGCUCCUCGGUGGGGUUCUGCGUGGCAUGUUGCGCGCCUCACCUUCUGAAGGAGUGCAUGGGUAUUGAUGGGGACAUCAACAGGCGUGAUGUCUGCACCGCAUGCUGCUGCUCCUAUCUGCCGAUGCAGGUGAAACGCCGGAGCAGACGCGGUGUUAGAGUGCCCAGAGGGAUCCACAGGCUCAAAGCCCUGCACACGCUGGGUGUGGUCAACGUCUCAAAGAAGGCUACUCUGAGAGAGGUAGCGAGGCUCACCGGGCUGCGCAAGCUGGGAGUGACCGGCGUUGAUGAGAGCAACAGCGGAGAGCUAUGUUUGGCCCUGGCCAAUCUCAGCUGUCUAGAGUCGCUGCUAGUGCAGUCGGAGGGUAAGCCGGGUUUAUUUGGCUGCUUGAAUGGCUUGUCCUCACCUCCGGAAAACCUUGAAAGCCUGAAGCUGUAUGGCAAUCUGGAAUGUUUGCCAACAUGGAUCGACGAUGGGCUAAAAAAUCUGACAAAGCUCAACCUGCGGAGUUCCAGGAUAUCGGGCCAUGAUACUGCCAUAAAAGUCCUUGGGAGUCUACCAAACCUAGCGAUCCUGCGUCUGCGCAAAGAGUCGUUUGAGGGUGAAGAGGUCCAUCUUCAUUUCCGUCGGGGCGCAUUCCAGACCCUAAUGGUGCUGGAGCUGAGUUCCCCAGGUAAGCUCAAAUCUGUGAGGUUUCAAAAGGGAGCAACCCCUAAGCUUGAGCUGCUGCAAUAUAAGUAUUCUGAUCAGCCUGAGGAAGAUGUUGUUUCAAAAGAAAACGAUGACGAUCAGUUUAAAGAAGCCCCUAGAGUUGGGUUGUUUUCUGGGCUAGCAUCUCUGGGAAGCCUCAAGGAAUUUCUGCUCAUGGGUGGCAACUACAAGGGCGACUUCGUGAAAAAUUUACGAUCCCAACUUGAGUCGAACCCGAAACAGCCUCUUCUCAAGAUGGACUGA